UACGUACUCCCUCCGUCCGAAAUUAAUUGUCGUAGAAAUGGAUAUAUUUAGAUGUAUUUUAGUUCUAGAUACAUCCAUUUUCGAGACAAGUAAUUUCGAACGGAUGAAGUACAUU
Triticum aestivum (bread wheat) is the source of this 115-nucleotide non-coding RNA. NCBI's taxonomy places the organism in Eukaryota, Viridiplantae, Streptophyta, Magnoliopsida, Poales, Poaceae. The record is from Rfam.